Ailuropoda melanoleuca (giant panda) is the source of this 481-nucleotide non-coding RNA. The record is from the annotation of a RefSeq genome assembly. Lineage: Eukaryota; Metazoa; Chordata; Mammalia; Carnivora; Ursidae.
GAUGUCUUGUGUCUGCAGGUGUCCAGUGUGAGGUGCAGCUGGUGGAGUCUGCAGGAGACCUGGUGAAGCCUGGGGGGUCUCAGAGACUAUCCUGUGAAGCCUCUGGAUUCAGCUUCAGUAGCUAUGGCAUGGCCUGGGUCCGCCAGGCUCCAGGGAAAGGGCUGCAGGGGGUUGCAAGUAUUAGCACUCGUGGUGGAAGCACAAGCUACGCAGACUCCGUGAAGGGCCAAUUCACCAUCUCCAGAGACAAUGGCAAGAACACGCUGUACCUGCAGAUGAACAGCCUGAGAGCCGACGACACGGCCGUGUAUUACUGUGCAAAGGACACAGUGAGGGGACAUCAGUGUGAGCCCAGACACAAACCUCACUGUAGAAGGGGAUCUGGACCAGCAGGGGGUGCACACUAGUCACCAGUUCUGUCCUUAAGCCCCAGGAGCAGCUGCAGGUGUAGGUUGUGGGCAGGUUUCCUGUCAGGGUCUGG